GAGCGGCGAACGGGUGAGUAACACGUGAGCAACCUGCCCUAGGCUUUGGGAUAACCCUCGGAAACGGGGGCUAAUACCGAAUAUUCACUGCUGGACGCAUGUUUGGUGGUGGAAAGUUUUUCGGCUUGGGAUGGGCUCGCGGCCUAUCAGCUUGUUGGUGGGGUAAUGGCCUACCAAGGCGACGACGGGUAGCCGGCCUGAGAGGGCGACCGGCCACACUGGGACUGAGACACGGCCCAGACUCCUACGGGAGGCAGCAGUGGGGAAUAUUGCACAAUGGGCGGAAGCCUGAUGCAGCGACGCCGCGUGAGGGAUGACGGCCUUCGGGUUGUAAACCUCUUUCAGCAGGGACGAAGCGCAAGUGACGGUACCUGCAGAAGAAGCGCCGGCCAACUACGUGCCAGCAGCCGCGGUAAGACGUAGGGCGCGAGCGUUGUCCGGAUUUAUUGGGCGUAAAGAGCUCGUAGGCGGCUUGUCGCGUCGACUGUGAAAACCCGUGGCUCAACUGCGGGCCUGCAGUCGAUACGGGCAGGCUAGAGUUCGGUAGGGGAGACUGGAAUUCCU
RNAcentral lists this ribosomal RNA (564 nucleotides) under Verrucosispora sp. 415D04. RNAcentral's name for it is "bacterial SSU rRNA". It matches the Rfam family "Bacterial small subunit ribosomal RNA", at positions 93 to 671 of the family's 1533-position model. Lineage: Bacteria; Bacillati; Actinomycetota; Actinomycetes; Micromonosporales; Micromonosporaceae. The record is from RNAcentral.